GACGAACGCUGGCGGCGUGCUUAACACAUGCAAGUCGAGCGGUAAGGCCCUUUCGGGGGUACACGAGCGGCGAACGGGUGAGUAACACGUGGGUGACCUGCCCUCAGCUCUGGGAUAAGCCUGGGAAACCGGGUCUAAUACCGGAUAUGACUCAAUGACGCAUGUUGUGGGGUGGAAAGCCUUGUGCGGCUGAGGAUGGGCCCGCGGCCUAUCAGCUUGUUGGUGGGGUGAUGGCCUACCAAGGCGACGACGGGUAGCCGGCCUGAGAGGGCGACCGGCCACACUGGGACUGAGACACGGCCCAGACUCCUACGGGAGGCAGCAGUGGGGAAUCUUGCGCAAUGGGCGAAAGCCUGACGCAGCGACGCCGCGUGAGGGAUGACGGCCU
RNAcentral lists this ribosomal RNA (388 nucleotides) under uncultured bacterium. RNAcentral describes it as "bacterial SSU rRNA". It matches the Rfam family "Bacterial small subunit ribosomal RNA", at positions 28 to 417 of the family's 1533-position model. The record is from RNAcentral.